This 233-nucleotide ribosomal RNA is filed under the name uncultured bacterium. RNAcentral's name for it is "partial 16S ribosomal RNA". It matches the Rfam family "Bacterial small subunit ribosomal RNA", at positions 15 to 244 of the family's 1533-position model. The record is from RNAcentral.
GAUCAUGGCUCAGGAUGAACGCUAGCGGCAGGCUUAACACAUGCAAGUCGAGGGGCAGCGGGGUGUAGCAAUACACUGCCGGCGACUGGCGCACGGGUGCGUAACGCGUAUGCAACCUACCCAUAACAGGGGCAUAACACUGAGAAGUUGGUACUAAUUCCCCAUAACAUUCGAAGAGGCAUCUCUUUGGGUUGAAAACUCCGGUGAUUAUGGAUGGGCAUGCGUUGUAUUAG